This 115-nucleotide small nuclear RNA is filed under the name Takifugu rubripes (torafugu). RNAcentral's name for it is "U5 spliceosomal RNA (ENSTRUG00000026575.1)". It matches the Rfam family "U5 spliceosomal RNA". Rfam says of the family: U5 RNA is a component of both types of known spliceosome. Lineage: Eukaryota; Metazoa; Chordata; Actinopteri; Tetraodontiformes; Tetraodontidae. The record is from Rfam by way of RNAcentral.
UUGCAUGUGGUUCUCUGCAAAGCGUACAAGUCUUUCGCCUUUUACUAAAGACUUCCGUGCAGAGGAGCAGCGCUUUGUCAGUUGCAUUUUGGCCAGGCUCUGCCGGUAAAGCCUU